GCCUUUCCCUCUGACUGAAGCAAUGGCAAAACCUCUUCCUACUGGUGCUGAGUUGCACUUCUGCUGGCCUUUGAAGUUGAAUUUCAGAAAGAAAGCAACCACUACAAAGAUGCAUUUUUGUUUUGCUAUAGUUCCUAAAACAUUUGCUGAAAAUCCUACUGAGCCGCAGUUGGUGCUGACGACACAGAAAUGAUUCAACUGCCCGAAGCGAGUUAAUGGAGUUUUCUAAGCACCGAUGGCAUUCAGAGAAGACAGCACCAUCGAGGCCUUUCCCAAGUUGGGGCAAGGCUUGAAGGAGAAAGUUGUAAGAAGCAAGGAGACGCUUAUUAAGACAGUACUGAGUAAGUAGGGCUCUUAAGGGCCGAAGACGCGAGUUUGAAUCUCAGACCUGCCACUUACAUGCUGUGAAACUUUGAAUGAAACUUUCCCCCACUCUGAGUGAAAUGAGGAUGGCACAGAGGUCUGGAGGCGAGGCCUGUGGUCUGACUCUACUGAAAGAUCGGCUCAGCAACCCCAUUUGGCACAGCUCCUAUCACAGACUAGCUCGUGUCUACGAUGUCUUAAUGUACUUCCGGGCAUUGGGAUAAUUGUCUCCAUUUGAUGGUUGUGUAGUUUACUCAAGGCCACGUGACAG
Fukomys damarensis (Damara mole-rat) is the source of this 634-nucleotide long non-coding RNA. RefSeq lists it as uncharacterized. NCBI's taxonomy places the organism in Eukaryota, Metazoa, Chordata, Mammalia, Rodentia, Bathyergidae. The transcript is spliced from 3 exons. The record is from RefSeq and is a predicted model, not a curated record.